This 433-nucleotide transfer-messenger RNA is filed under the name Patescibacteria group bacterium. It matches the Rfam family "transfer-messenger RNA". From Rfam's summary of the family: Bacterial tmRNA, also known as 10Sa RNA or SsrA, is named for its dual tRNA and mRNA-like properties. Its role is to liberate the mRNA from a stalled ribosome. The record is from RNAcentral.
GGGGAUGCAGUGGCUUAGACUGACUGCAAGAUUUACAAGAGCAAGUCAAAGUGUUGGAUCUUUGUUAAAAGCCAACAAAACUAUAAGUGCAGAAAACGAAGUAGCACUUCAGCCAGCGUUCGCAGAAUACGCUUACGCAGCCGCUUAAUUUUUUAAGCGAUAUGGCGAUCCUUUAGUUUUUACCUGAAAGGGCUAAAAGGGUCUUAUAAAAUCAGGUUGCGGAUAUUUAGUCUGACGAACUAACUUUCCAAAAGGGCAAACCUUAAACCUAGUCUAUAGAAAGAGUUCUAGAGCGUGAGAUAGCUAGCUUUCUAAAAAUCUAUCUUGCUAAACUUGGGAUGCUUAAUGCCUCCCAGCGCCGGCUUUGCCUGCGUUGUAAACUUUUGUACUUUGCGCUUUCAGGACGGGGGUUCGAUUCCCCCCAUCUCCACCA